ACUAGCGGUAUACGUAUAAUUAUGUACAUUAUAUAUAUUGAAAUCCUAUAUGUUGCAAAGCGCCAAGAGAGCAAAUGAAAUAUCGAAAUUUCUGCACGGUACGAGUUCUGCAAAAACACGAGUAAUUCAAAUACAAUAUACGGAACUCAUUCUCACAUUUCCACUAAAAAUUAUUAGAUAUCCUCUUCUGCUGGCACGUGGCAUUAAAAAUAAUCGCAUGUUUUUUUUCUAUUUUUGUAACGAUUAAAACUGGGAUUUUAUUAUCAAAUUAACGUAAUUAAAUUUAUAUUAAAUUACUUUCUCGGAAUUCGAAUUUGUGCGUGUAAUUUUGUUACUUAUUGUGUGUGUGUGUGUGUAUUAAGUAACGAUUUAGUUGAUUGCAUAUAUACUAUAUUACAUGCUAUUGGCAAUGAAGACCAUAGUGAGAAUUUUUUUAUCUCGUUCGUAGAAUGCAGUUCGUAUUUGCCUGCACGUGUGCCGCGAUUGCGUGUAAUAUUCUCGCUGAGAAUGCAAUUUAUGAUUAUGAACCUCGUUGCAUUGCAGUUACGAUGUUAAUUGCACUCCCACUGCUGUUACACGCACAUUAUCCUCUGCUUUGUACGAUGCACUUCGAGAACUGUGCUUCUUAUUAAAAAUUUUGUAACUGGGUCGAAAACUGUCGUAAAUGGGUACAGCUGUCGCUGCUUUUCGAAGAGUUCGUCCUGCAAAUCGUUUUCAAACUUACGUCUCUUUCUUUAUCAAAUGAAUGUGGAGACAUACUUUCCUUGACGGAGACUUCUACGAUUACUUGGUGAAUAAAAUUUUUCAAUAUUACGCAAUUUUAAAAUAGUAGUAUUUUUAUCAGACCUGCUUUAAACAUGUUUGAAAACAUAUCGUGAGUUCUCAUAUAUAGAGCUUUUUAUCUCUUUUAUUUUCAUUUCAUCUAUCGAUGUCUCGGAAGAAAUAGCUCUAUCAUUCUUCAUACGCGCAGAAAUAACGACCUGCUUCUCAGAGCCGUGGGGAACGAUUGCUGAAAUUUACAUAUCUGGCCUGAAAAUUCUCCAGAGAAUCUGAAACUUGUGAAUUGUGGAGUGUCUCGGGUUUCAAAGACCAUUAAAGUGACAAAGAAUGUCUGUCUAUAGAAUUUAAUUAAUUCUUUAAAUUACUCGGUUUUAGGUCAUUCUCAGGUCUCCUAAUUGCGUCAAUUUUUAUUUAUUUAUUUAAAUUGAUCAAUAACCAGUUGAACGGUUUACAGAGUACAUUUCGCUUAAAUAUAAAAUUUAAUAAAUAAAACGGAAUCUGUUGAUAUUUUUUCGAUGCAAUUCAUAAAUAGUCAACUAAGUGAAUAAACGUUCCAAUGAUUAUUAAUUGCUGUAAAUCAAAAUUUAUCAAUUAUUCAUCCAAAUCCAUCUGUUCGUUGUAAUCAUGCCUCACCUAUUGCGGUAGUUUUCAAUUACAUCAAAUAAUUAACAAGCUCCAUCAAUUCUCCAAAUGAUCGCCCCUGCAAAUGCAGGAAAUUAAUUCAGCCAUCGCUUUAAACAGAUUUCACUGCAAUGCUAAACGAAUUACUUCAUCUUGCUACGGCAGACACGGUAUAUUACGCAUCUAAUAUCUACCGCGCUUUAGCUAUUUGUUCUUGAAAAUCACGUGUGAUUCCAUUACGACAUUCCAUCUCUGCGCGAAUUGUCGGAAGGUAGAGUCAACCCCUCGGAUUCGCACAUUCCUCUGCUGCUUCUCACCUCGUCGAACGCGCUCAUAUAUGACUUUUUAAUGCACCUCCACAAAACAUGCGCGUCCUCGCGCACUUUCAAUUUCCUGACAGUGCCAUAUAUAUAUCUCAAUGUCAGUUGGAAAUGGAUUCCGCGGGGAGUGCAUCCGUUCCGCAUCACCGCAUACGCUGCGUUUACGUGGUAUACCGCGGCGUCAUAUUUUCCGUCUAAUAUCGCACAGACGUGCAACGUGCACCUAUAUGUACAGUUACGUCUCAUUGACGACAGACAAUACGUUCCACCCCGAUCGAUUAUACGCUUUGAUGAACGAUUCUCGAGACGCCAUCGAAACGCGAGUGCACAGGAAGCGUUUCUCCGAACUGACAUUGGCGUUCUCACAAAUCAUAGAUGUUAAUCGCAUUAUAAUCAAGAUAUAUUACACGUGUGUUAUAAACGCACACACCAAACUUCAAUGAUCUUCUAUGAAAUUCAUGUUAUACGUAAAAUAUAAAAUUUUAAUUAAUUUAAUUUUCGAUAAUUUAAUCGAGUUAUCGUUGAAAACACAUCGUUAAUAGAAAAUUACGGAAUAUUAUUUUAUGGUGUGAAACAUAAAAUCAAUGUUUCAUAACAUUAUUUACAUUUUUUCUAUAUAUCACGUGCGGCGCAGUAAUCGAUCGCAUACAUAAUUGCAGAUUGUCAUAUAUUGCAUACACUAUAAUAAUGUGUAUACAUUUCAAUAAAAAAUUCAAAUUUACACAAUAUAUUUAUAUUAAGAUGCUCGAGCUAUUGUUUAGUUUUGAUGACAACAUCGAUGUGUUUAAUUUAUUUCUUCAGCUAAUCAAAUUAUAGAUAUUUCGGGAAAAAAUAAAAAUGCAUUAUUGACAAAGAGAAAGUUGACUAACAAUAAGUGUAAAAAAUUGUCAAUUUUUGCUACCGGAAAGAUAUUUUUAAAAACAUUUCAGAGAAAUAUAUUUAAUAAAUAAUAAAGGAACAUAGAGUUUAAUAUCCGAUACUUUUUUCGCACAAACUUUCAAUUUGCCAUUCGAAAGUCUCGUAUAUGCAAGACAGAUGAUAGAAUUGCCCGAAAACGGGAUCAAAACGGCGCAACGCAUUUAACCAAUGCGGGCUACGUCCAGACAGCGCUGUCGACUACUGCCGUUACGUUUUACGGAUCGAUGAAUUUUUCAUUAAUACACGCUCAUUGGCGGAUUUUACUCAAAAUUUUAUUUCCCCCGGGAUGAAGCUCUUCAUCGGCAGUAAAAGUACGCGUAGGCGCUGAGAAACCGAAACCGAACUGUAAUGACGAGAUCUAUACAUAACGUCAUAAAAGAACGUCAAUGCGCAUUAUGCAAUGUAGAGGGAGAUCCCUCGAAUCGCGGUUUAUCAUAUAUUUCCAGCUAACCGCUUAUCUGUAUCCGUGUAUUACGAGGUCACAAUGAAACACGUAUUAUCAUAAUCAUGAAAGAUUCGUAUUGCGGACUGACGAGCAUAUUACGAGACAUCUUAAGCAUGAACAGCAUUAUCCGCUUAUUUUUCAUGAAACAUAAUAACGAUCACGAUAUCAGAGUUCCGCGAAUGUAUUUUCCAUUUAAGCGGUAGACGAAAUAAAAGUGUUUCAUGGCUUACCUCGUUACGAUUCGUUUCAUGCGAACAAAACUCGAGGCAUUGUUAUCACAUCCUCCCAGAAUAGAAAUUAAAUUCUCGCGGAACAAUCGCUAAAUUUCCUGAGAAAGUUUCGCCCCGUGAUUUCUAAUGAACUUUUCGACAUUUUUCACUUUUUCAUUGCGCCUUAUCAUUAACAAACUAAAAAUGUAUAGUAAUUUUACAUGCUAAAUUAAGUACUUUUAGAAAACAUAAUAUUACAUUUUACUAAGUUAAGACCAAAAAGGAAAAGUAUAAAUGUUUUAAAUUUAAUGCACAAAUUUUUGCCUUUAGAUUAUUGUAAAUUUUAAUGUUAUCGAAGAACAUUUUUCUUAAUGUAUGGAAAAAUGUAUCCGGAUAUUUGAAUUCUAUGCCAAAUAGAUAGUUUUUUCGAUAAGUUGAAAACGGAGCUCAAAUUCAAAGAAGCAUUCGGCACGUGCAUAAUCUAAACCACCUCUCGAAUAGCCAUAUACCGUAACGAGAUCAGCUGCGGAAAGUCGGAUUUCCGGCGACUUCACGCUACGUGAUAAACAGCGUAACCUUUCGCUGAGGUAAUCGCAACGAUUUCCGUCAAAUCGUUUUUUUCGCGCGCUACAGUUAUCCUUGCCAAAAGACCAACGGGCAUGGAAUACCAGACCAAUCUGGUCUCGCAUAAAAAUGCAAAUGAUCACGUCUCUCUUAUCCGUAUAUGGCUAAUAAAUGCGGCAUGUCAUCAUCGGACCUAAUGGUUAAAAAAAAAAGGAAAGAAAAAGUAAAAAUAGCUCUCGCAGAACGAAAUUUAAUGGAAUCUCGCGCGCGCUUAAUGACAUUUUUAUGCGCAACAAAAGGACGAUGUAUCUUUGACAUCACGCCAAAAUUGUCGAGAAAUUCUGCCGUGCAGUGCGACAUGUCGAUAAUUUUAUCGUUUAAUCUCAGAUUGCACUGAGAAAUUCUCUAUUGAUAGCGGGCGCAGAAGCGUUGUCUAACCGGCUGUUUAAUUACGUAGAUAAGUACAGUCGCGGAAAAGGGAUACUUGCGUGUGUACGAUCCUGUGAUCGAACGUGAUGAGCAUUCAGCGUGCUCGAUUUACCGUAACAAUCCCGAAAUUUUCGCCGUGAAUGUAUUAACGCGCGCGAAAUAGUUAUUCAACGAUAAAUGCGGGCGAACAAAAUUAUUUAAUGAUAAUUACCAUAAUUCUUGAUAAUUAGUAUAAUUAUCAGUACAGAUACAUGUCAAAGAUACAUCUCAUUCACCACAUCGACAAUAACACAGUUGUUAUUUUAAUGUAAAUGUGACAUAUUUAUUUAUUAUCUGCAUAUAUAGAAACGUUACUUAACGUAGCUUCUCAUAUAAAAGUUUGUCAUAUAAUAUGCAUCAUAUUAAUAAAUCGUACCAAAGAAAUUUAACGAGGCAGAACUCAGUACCUAUUAGACAUAAUUUCAUCGCUCUAAUUAAGCGUUGACGUCAACCUGGGCAAGUAUCGAGAUAAUACAAAUAAAAUUAGAACAAAAAAGUUACCUCAUGUGACCUCAUAUGCUUUGCCAAAAUCCACAUUAUUCUCACGUGCCGUAUAAUCUAUUUUCAUUUUCUUCUAUAUCACACGAGACAGUUGAAAUUAACCGAAAGAAACUUGAAAUUACUACUAAUUUGCACUUUGAUAAAGUGCAACUGAUUAUGUAGUUCAACAGUUUAAAUUGGAAUAAAGUUAUUAACGUUAAUUAACUAAUGUUAACAACUUUAUCCUAGUUUAAUAGCUGUUUAAUAACCGUUUUAAAUAAUAUAGUUUAAUAACUCAAUUAAAACACAGGUUAACAAUUUGAAUUAAAUGAGCCACUAUCAGAAAAUUGGACGUUGAGAUUUUUUGUAAUAGAAGCCAUUCAUAUUUACGAUAUAGACUAUCCAUCGUGUCUGGUUUAAUCAGACAAGGCAGACAAGUUGGCUCGUGUGAGGCAGUCGUCAGUGCCAAAAGACUAAGCAAUCUCUCUCUUUCUCUCUCUCUCUCUGUCUCUUUCUCCGGAGCCACGCAAUGUGAUCACCGGUUGCUGGAGGGGUGGGGGGGCUCAGACACGGCAGCUGUUUGCUCGUCGUGGAACGGAUCAGGGGGUCGUGCUGGCAUGUGUAACCCGCCAGUAAUGCCGCAUCGCUGGCGUUUGCAGCUCGCGCGAGCAACGCAGCGCGGGACUCUGACAUGUCGUUACGAUUUUUGCCAUUUUUCCAAGGUCGCAGUCGUGCGAGAAAAAGAUAAUUGUCAAGUGAAAUCGUGAAAGUGCCGCGUGUCGGGCCGUGGGACGCUGGAAAAAUCGGCCCCUCCGAGAGCGCUUCAAGCCGGUAGGUUCGGAGCACAGCAACGGGCGUGCUUUAAUACAGCAGCAACGGUUGGAAAAAGUGCGCGCGCACACUGACGCGCUUUCGGAGCAGCCUGUGGACCAGUCCGUCGGUAAAUCUCCAAAAAUCGAUCUCGGCCCUGUACACGACAUCUCGUCACGUGUGUUGAACGUUUACAGUUCGAUCGUGUGUGAUUGGGAAUGAAUUGGAUCGCCACUUUGUUCUCCUAAGUAAAUGGCCGGCGACAAUAUUCAAACGGCAAACUGCGAACAGACGGUGAAUGAUGAUAUUCGAGUGAUAUUAUAUAGUGAAAGAAUUUCCAAAAUGAUAAAUCCGUAACGAGAGUUCAUCAGUGAUCAAGAAUUUCCAAAUGACGAGUCGAUAACGAAGACUACGUAGUGAUUACAAAUUUUUAUUAGUGAUUAAUAGCGAUUUUUUUUUAUUACGUGAAGCAUAUCGUUUAUCGAUAUAUGUACAUAUAUAAAAUAUCCAAGUUAUGGAUAUUUAUACGGAAGCAAUGAAUCGUCAUAGCGAGGUCUACGACAAUUGGACGAAAAUCGUGAGGACUCUAACGAAUGCAUCCAAGUGGCGUCCAAGAGACGACGCUAUCCUCGCCUACUCGCGUGGAAAUAUCACUCUCGACGUCGCGCUUAGAAACGGGUCCAGCCACAUGGAAUUCGCUCUGUGAUAGUCAGCUUUAUUUCCUGCCAAAGAAUUGCUUUAUGGAUGAAAAAUCGCACAUUUUUAAGCUUUAUCCUACCAAAGAGAAGCAGUAACGUGCCUUAUUGUCCGCAGUAAUAAUACAUGUUACCAGUAAUUUAUAAAACGAGCAAUAUGCGAAAAGCGAUCUCAUCGCAUUGAGAACAUUCAGGCGUAUCGCAACUCUCAAAAGGAUCGCAUAUCUCGAUAGGACAUGUUAUAUUAAGCGAAAUAUAUUGAGCGAUCCUCAGAUGAAAUUUCGCAAAUCCGUCUCAUCUAGCCCGAAGAUGGAACUACUCUCAAGACGUUCCUCUGACGGCAGGAUGUCGACCUUGAAGAGAUCGAGAUCCUUCCGAGCGUCUGUGAAACUGAUGUCAAAGAUACGCGAUCGUGCCAAUCUGCGAUUGACCGCUGGCUUCGAUCUCUCGUCCGUCUCGAAAGAUCUCAUCGUCAAGAAAGGCUGCAACCUCCCUGUUGUUGAAGAACCUCAGAACGGUGAAAGAUCCUCGAACCUACGAAAAGAUUUCGAGGAGGUUGCGAAUUCUUGCGUCAAGAACAAAAUCAGUGACGAGGCAGCAUCCCCGAGUCCUCGGAAGAUCUCGGUGUCAAAUCUCGAUGCCGACCCGCGAGAAAUUACAAAAGAUCUGAAGAGUAAGCUCUCUCUGACCGACAGACUAAUGGGCAAGGGCCGCAAGGACGUAGUGGAGAGACCCUCGACGAAAGACGAAGGUGUGAAAUCACCGAAGGUCAGUCACAUUUUUCGCAGGAGACGCAGCACGGAGAGUUCGCAGGAAAAUACUCGAAAGAAGGAUUGUAGCGACAAGCAUGCGUCCUGCGAGACAGACACGGGUCGAUCGAAUAAACAUGUAUCUUAUGAGAACCCUACAUUUGUGUUAGACAAUUCCUUGGACUCCUCCGUCUCGAGCUUCCUCUUUGAAGUCGAAGAGAAAGAGGAGGAGGAGGAGGAGGAGGAGGAGGAGGAGGAGGAAGAGGAGGAGAAGACGAAACAACGACAGGAACAAGAUGGCGAAAAUGAGCGCGCUGUGUCAACUAAGCGCGAUGUCUUGACUGUCGUCGUGGAUUCUCACAAAGCCACAACUAACCGGCUCCUAUAUCGUAAAACAAACUACGAGCCAGGUAAGAGCGAGGACGAAGAAUACCUCGAGAAGGAAGAGUCGCAAAACGCAUUUCGUCCCCGAUGCGAGACUGAUCCUUUAAGACGUCCUUGCGAAGUGAGGAAAAACGAGGAUUCGCAAGCGAACAUGAUAAACGGAAAUCGAAGAACGACUGAAUCUUUCGGCGAAUUUGAUCGACCAAGAAUUAAAUUUUAUUGCAAGAUGCACGAGACCGAAAGAAAAAAUGCAACAAUCUGCCUGCAGAAUCAGAAAAUGUACGACAACAUCAAGACGUGUCCUUCAAAAUCUUGUAAAAUCAGAACAGUCGAUAAUAUUGCCAACUUUUGGUCAAGUAAACGUGGUAACAGUUUUCGAAAUAAAAUGGCAACCAGUAGGAAAAAAGAUGCGAAGGACACGAGGGAUUACGAGCGGCUUGGUCAGGAGCGAAUUUUCAUGUCAACAUCAUCGGGAUUAAAGUUCCACUCGUUGCAAGGGAUGGAGUUCCUGGAAGGUUUCGGCAAGAAGAAACAACAAUCCAACCAGCAACUAAAUAAUUUAUCAUCGAUACAUAUCAAUCCUCUCUCGGCCCAAUCCCUCAACAUACACCUGCAUGCUUUAUUUGCGGCUGUGGAACAUGGUCACUUGGAUAAAGCGAGGACUAUUUUGGAGUCUACUGAUGUGGACAUAAAUAGCGUUAACAGCGACGGCUUGUCACCGCUGGACGUUGCUGUGCUUAGCAACAACAGGCCGUUGGCAAAAAUGCUGGUUGCGUUCGGCGCGCAGGAAGGGAAUCAAUUCAAGUCUCCGGAAUCUCUGGGUAGCCAUUUGGCGUCAUUGCUUUCGGAAGCGGAACACAGAGUUCAAGAGCUCGGUGGCAGUACUUCCGGUAGCGGAGGAACAACCCUAUUGGAACCACCCAGCAGUCAUAGGGCCAGUUUUUCCACGCAACAUAACAACCUCACGGGAUGUGGUGGUAACACGGAGGAUAAGCAACUUGCCCUGUGGGAAAGGAGAGCCAGAGCUCUCAGAAAAAUGUUACUGGGUUUCGACCAAGCGCGCCCACCCGACAUACCUUUCUUAGUCGCGAUCGAUGUCACGGGAACAACAUCGGUAACAGUCAGAUUUCAAGAGCCAGAUUCGCACGACUCUCCGAUCUGCACUAAAUUCAAAGUCCAAUGGAGUCUGCACGAUGAUUUUUCAGUUAUUUGCGAUGAGAGGGAAGUCCUAGACAUGAAGCAGAGAGAAUGUCGGAUCGAAGGUCUAACUCAAGGUCAGAAAUAUCAUUUUCGCGCCGCCGCCGGAAAUUUGAAAGGCUACAGCAGAUUCAGAAACUCAACACCCGCACAUGUUACACCUAGCAGUUGGAGGGAUAUAGACGGCAGGGUGCCCAGAUUUGCGGGACGACUGGAACAGCUCAACACUCUGUUCACCGACAUAAGGCGACCGGAAUAUACGCAAGAAACGCCGGCGGUGCAGAGGCGAAAUCACAAAAAGAAAACAACGAUAAAACAGCUCUUCACGGCGACGAGUAAAUUCCAGAAAAAUCUCAGGCGAGGAGUGUUUCUAGCGUGCCUACUCUAUCACGAGGACAAGGUUCUUGUUACAAACGAGGACUUCUUACCAGUGAUCGAGAUCGAUGAGACGUAUCCCAGUUGUAUCUACAACGAUUUUCAUUGGCUCAUGAAAGUCGCCUGUACCUGGGACGACGUUAAAUCCCUUCGGCAGGAUAUGGAAAAGAGUCAUAGCAGCUCAACGAACCAUUUUAGGAUAAAGUUACUUCAAGCUGCUGCUCAAAUGCAGGCUGCAUUGUGCAUACAAGACCUUGGACAGUUAUAUCAUAAACCUAUCAGAGACAUUCAAGGGACCUUAGUAUUCUCUACUGUAAAUUAUAUAAAGUCGCCGAAAUUGGUUUCUGUAUUAAACAGCAGGUGGUUGCCGCUCAGUAAAGUCAUAAAAAAGGUCAUAACGCACGAAGAUAGCAACGUCGCUGAUAUAUUGAUGACUAGUAUACAAGAACAAAUGACAUAUCACCAAGUCAGCAGUAUCAAACUAUCCAAGGGUUUAUAUCUCGGUUAUUUGAAAAUGCAAAGUAGCGUGGAUCUCAUACAAGUCGUUGUUCCCACGAAAUCUCCAAACGUAUUGCCACAUUGUAAAAUUCGCGACAAUCCGCACGUGUCAGCGGAGGAAUGGGACUAUCUAAAGAGAAUAACGCGCAUUUGUACGUCCGAGGCUUCCGUGGAGGAAUCCGAAGAGAAGGAGAAUGUGACGAAUGAGGCGCAAGGCACGGAACAACAGAAGCUAUUUGUCGAUCUGGUCGCCGCGACGGCACGACGACUGUUCAAUUACAUGGAAAUCACUCCCGAGGAUUCACUUGUCCAGCGGUUAUACGACGCUGAGGUGAUCGAUCUGACUCAUGACGUGUCGUUUCUUAUUACUGUGCCACCCGCCGAAACCGCCUGCUGCGUGCCUGGCACGCGAGAAAUCUUACUACAGCGCGGUGAUCUCCUGUCAUUGCCGAUUCAAGUCUUCGAGAUGGUUCAUUUGAAUACGUAUCAGAAAGACGUGAUCAAUCGUUACUCGAGACUCAGCUGUAUAUUGGAACUGGACACCGCACAGGCCCAGCAUAAUCAUAGAGAAGCCUUUAGUUCCUUGGAGCUGAGCGUCGCCAAGGACAAACUGGCAAGAUUGCAAGACCUUCAGUCGCAAGUGAACACUGUGUGGAAAGGCGCCCGAUGGUUGAUCGACGUUAUAACUUUCGCGAGAGAUCGCGGUUCAUCCCAACAAAACAUUGCAUCGCAAACCAUUGGCAUAUCUAUGAAGCAUCUGCUAAGUCUGGACAGAAAUAAAAACAGCAACAGUAACAGCUUGAAACGAAGUUUAUUACAAUUACCACCUAGAGAUCCUAAACUCGUGAAAUCGAGUCCCGGGCGUGGUAGCUGGCCCGGUCCUAAUCUAUCGAAAUCGUCCUCGAAUCUUCUUACGACAGAAUUCAGCAAAAGCGAGCAACAACUGCCCAGUGGUCAAUACGUGCGCAAAGGAAGCAACACCUCGAACGUGUCGACAACUUCGGAGCCGCCGAAAUCGUGCGCACCGAUAAGCAGCGGUAGCAAUUUGAGCAAUCUGACGACUACCAGCAGUGCGAAUCAUCUGAUACCGUUACAGAAUGUGAGAUUGCCACCCUCCAAAUCCGAAGAUACCUUGAUUCUCGCCAAGUACAAACACAGUCCGCGAAAUCGUUCCUCUACGAUAACGUCGGCAUCGGCUACCACUAGUCCAUUACUGAGUAUUAAGCCCAUGAAUUAUAGCGGUUCAUUAUUGAGUGUCUCUACGGCGAUGACAAACACCACGAGUCUGCUUAGUGUGAGCAACACAAAUUCCGACAGUCUGCACUCGCUGAGCAGCGACGAAUAUUCCGCAACAAAUUCAAACGCCUGUUUGAAACCUGGUCAACCAGUCAAAGUUAAAACGUCUAAACCGACUGCGAGCGUCGCGGCGAUGGCUGCCGUUCCGACGGAUAACUUAGAUGAGGAGAAGGAAGAAGCGACAAUGAUGCCGGCACCUCUGCCAGGCAUUCUUCAGGGAACACAAGUCUAACCUGAUUAUAAUUAAAAGCUCACUUGGUCCUCUAGUGCAAACUGAUGUAGUGGAUAUAUUGAGUUUACGCGGCUUACGAGACUGGUUUGGCAGCUGGUACCAGUUUAAAGCUGCACGUAACACCGAGGACUACGGCACGGGAAGUCGUGGAUCUUGUUGUUAAGCAAUUAAAUAUGGCAGUGGUUUUAAAAGGACAAAAAGGGC
This 11245-nucleotide unclassified non-coding RNA is filed under the name Monomorium pharaonis (pharaoh ant). RNAcentral describes it as "uncharacterized LOC105836334, transcript variant X1". The record is from RNAcentral. Lineage: Eukaryota; Metazoa; Arthropoda; Insecta; Hymenoptera; Formicidae.